UACGAAGGGUGCAAGCGUUGUUCGGAUUUAUUGGGCGUAAAGCGCGCGUAGGCGGACCUGUAAGUCAGAUGUGAAAUCUCGGGGCUCAACCUCGAAACUGCGUCUGAAACUGCAGGUCUAGAAUCUUGGAGAGGGAAGGGGAAUUUCGCAUGUAGGGGUAAAAUCCGUAGAUAUGCGAAGGAACACCAGGGGCGAAGGCGCCUUCCUGGACAAGUAUUAACGCUGAGGCGCGAAAGCGUGGGGAUCAAACAGG
Molecule: ribosomal RNA, 253 nt
Filed under: uncultured bacterium
Lineage: Bacteria
Description: partial 16S ribosomal RNA
Rfam family: Bacterial small subunit ribosomal RNA
Source: RNAcentral